Molecule: long non-coding RNA, 840 nt
Organism: Carcharodon carcharias (great white shark)
Lineage: Eukaryota; Metazoa; Chordata; Chondrichthyes; Lamniformes; Lamnidae
Exons: 3
Source: RefSeq, a predicted model, not a curated record
GCGAUUAUUUCCUGACUGUCCUUCAUGUUAUAUUCAAUUAGAAUUAUAUCUAGAAACAUUGCAGUGAGCACAAGGAUAAGACUUUCUCGAACACCUUAGAGAUGGAAAGUAAGAGCAGGAAUCAAUUAGUAACACGGAUGCCAAAUGUCAAUUAUUGUGCUUAACUGAGUUAGCUGGACGAGCAUGAGCUACGGAAGAAUGCUCUCUAAUCACGUGUGAACAAAUCACAAAGGGAUAAUAUACAAGGCAAUCAACGGCAAAAUUACCCAAAAAGUUUGAUCGAGGAAUCUUUUCUGGAACAAGGGAUGCGACGAAGAAAAGUAUCCAUUCCAAGUGAAACAAUUUGUAACAUCUGCACUAUUUCGCCUUUGUAAGCAACAGUCAUCAUGGAUUCAGAAGGGGAUGAUCAUAGCUGGCCAACCUCGACUUGCUUGUGGAAAUGACCUCUAGUGGAAUGCAUGUUAAGCACCAAAAUCAGCAAAAAGCAGGUCCCUAGUACCAAGAAAGAAAUGUGAAUGGCAGGUUAGGCAUGAUGUCCAAUGCCAGGAAACCAAAACCACACUGAUUGCACUGCCCAGUUGGCAGGUGAGCAGUAACAGAAAGGGUAGAUAGGAACACCGAUAUUGAGCUGAGGUACGUCCACCACUCCCCGUGGUAGUGAGUUUCACAUUUUUAGCACUCUUACGGUAAAGAAGUUCCUUCAGAAUUUCCUAUUAGAUUCCUUGGUGACUAUCUUACAUUGAUGGCCUUUAGUUAAGCCGUUUCCCACAAGAGGCAACAUUGAAGCAGCACUUCCCAAAUUAUUUUUCAAUAUAACCAUUUUAACACUAAAAUUAGCAU